AUACGGAGGGUGCAAGCGUUACUCGGAAUCACUGGGCGUAAAGCGCGCGCAGGCGGUCUUUUAAGUUGGAUGUGAAAGCCUACGGCUCAACCGUAGAACUGCAUCCAAAACUAUUAGACUAGAGUGUGGGAGAGGAAGAUGGAAUUAGUUGUGUAGGGGUAAAAUCCGUAGAGAUAACUAGGAAUACCAAAAGCGAAGGCAAUCUUCUGGAACACUACUGACGCUGAGGCGCGAAAGCGAGGGGAGCAAACAGGAUUAGAAACCCUAGUAGUCC
This 274-nucleotide ribosomal RNA is filed under the name uncultured bacterium. Its description in RNAcentral is "partial 16S ribosomal RNA". It matches the Rfam family "Bacterial small subunit ribosomal RNA", at positions 523 to 796 of the family's 1533-position model. The record is from RNAcentral.